UGGACUAUGUACAGCUGCAGCGAUCAGUUAGCUGCUCAGAUAGCAGAUGUUUAAAGUUGGUGAGGGAGAUAAAAGUCUCCAACUUCAACGAUUUUUGCAAUUCGUUCCAGUCACAGGCAGCAGAAAACUGGAAAGAAAGGCGUCCAAUGAGGUGUUGGCUUUAGGGAUGAUCAGUGAGAUUCACCUGCUGGAGCGCGUGCUACGAGUACUUUUGUUCAGUAUGUUGCCGAUUUGUUGGUUUGUUCACAAUCAGAGGAAAGAUGUCACGAGGACACUCAAGCAUGGUUGAUUGUCCCCUCGUAAAAUGCAGUUAUGCUGGAGCUCCGUUAAAUAUUUACAGUGGCAAGAAAAACUUUGUGACCCCUUUGGAAUUACCUGGAUUUAUGCAUAAAUUGGUCAUCAACUUUGAUCUGAUCUUCAUCUAAGUCAAAGCAAUAGACGAAUACAGUGUGCUUAAACUAAUAACACACAGAUGAUUGUAGUUUUCUUGUCUAUAUUGAAUACAUCAUUUAAUCAUUCACAGUGUAGGUUGGGGAAAGUAUGUGAACCCCUUGGCUAAUGACCUCCAAAAGCUAAUUGGAGUCAGCUAACCUGGAGUCCAGUCAGUGAGAUGAGAUUGGAGAUGUUGGUUAGAGCUGUCUUGCCCAAAAAAACACUCACAAAAUUUGAGUUUACUAUUCACAAAAAACAUUGCCUGAUGUGAACCAUGCCUCAAACAAAAUAGAUCUCAGAAGACCUAAGAUUAAGAAUUGUUGACUUGCAUAAAGCUGGAAAGGGUUACAAAAGUAUCUCUAAAAGCAUUGAUGUUCAUCAGUCCAUGGUAAGACACAUUGUCUAUAAAUGGAGAAUGUUCAGCACUGUUGCUACUCUCCCUAGGAGUGGCUGUCUGGCAAAGAUGACUGCAAGAGCACAGCGCAUAAUGCUCAAUGAGGUUAAGAAGAAUCUUAGAGUAUCAGAUAAAGACAGAAAUCUCUGGAACAUGCUAACAUCUCUGUUGAUGAGUCUACAAUACGUAAGACACUAAACAAGAAUGGUGUUCAUGGGAGGACACCACGGAAGAAGUCACUGCUGUCCAAAUAAAACAUUGCUACACGUCUGAAUUUUGUCAAAGUGCACCUGGAUGUUCCACAGCGCUACCAGCAUAAUGUUCUGUGGGCGGAUGAAACUACAGAUGAGUUGUUUGGAAGGAACACACAACACUGUGUGGAGAAAAGAAGGCCCAGCACACCAACAUCAUCCCAACUGUAAAGUAUGGUGGAGGGAGCAUCAUGGUUUGGGGCUGCUUUGCUGCCCCAGGGCCUGGACAGCUUGCUAUCGUUGACAGAAAAAUGAAUUCCCAUGUUUAUCAAGACCUUUUGAAGGAGAAUGUUAGGCUAACUGUUCUCCAAUUGAAGCUCAACAGAAGUUGGGAGAUGCAACAGGACAAUGAUGCAAAACACAGAAGUAAAUCAACAGAAGAAAAUAAGCCUUCUGGAGUGGCCCAGUCAGAGUCCUGACCUCAACCCCAUUGAGAUGCUGUGGCAUGACCUCAAGAGCAGUUCACACCAGAAAUCCCAAGACUAUUGCUGAACUGAAACAGUUUUGUAAAGAGGAAUGGUGUUACAUUUAUUGUUUCUGUAUUGUGGUUUUGUUUGUAUGUGUGUUUCAGGAUGGCUUCCUAAAAUUCCCCCAAGCAGCUGAUUGGUCGGCCCCAUUGCUAAUUGGAGCUGACCCCGCCCUCUCGUCAGAGGAUACAGCUGUUUCCCAUUGGACUCCUCCUGAAGCUAGAAAAGCCUGUGUUCCUUUGUUAGGAGAGAGCUGAUUGUUGUGUCCUGUGUUAGUUUGUUGCUCAGAGAAAGAGAGCUUAUUAGUAUGUCCUGUGUGUGUCAAUAGGGCGCAGUGUUUUUCAUUCUUGAAAUUGUUUACCUACGUUUGUAUUCUGUUUCAUUUGUUCCCAGGGGGGAAGGGGAAGGCAACUAGGGAGUGCUUCGGCAAGAGGCCUGCGGGCAUACAUAACCAGUAGUAUUUACAGUCUAUGCACACUAGGUAAGACCUGGGCGGACCACCCCCUGUAUUUUGGUUAGCGCACCAGGAGGUGCUAAAAGGUUAGGUAAGUGGGUAGGCAGGUAAGAUAGGAGAUGGUAGGUUAGGUAAGUAGUGGGUAGGCAGGUAAGAUAGGAGAGGGUAGGUUAGGUAAGUAGUGGGUAGGCAGGUAAGAUGGGAGAUGGUAGGCAGGUAAGUAGUGGGUAGGCAGGUAAGAUAGGAGAUGGUAGGUUAGGUAAGUAGUGGGUAGGCAGGUAAGAUAGGAGAGGUUAGGUAAGUAGUGGGUAGGCAGGUAAGAUAGGAGAGGUUAGGUAAGUAGUGGGUAGGCAGGUAAGAUAGGAGAGGGUAGGUUAGGUAAGUAGUGGGUAGGCAGGUAAGAUAGGAGAGGGUAGGUUAGGUAAGUAGUGGGUAGGCAGGUAAGAUAGGAGAGGGUAGGUUAGGUAAGUAGUGGGUAGGCAGGUAAGAUAGGAGAGGGUAGGUUAGGUAAGUAGUGGCUAGGCAGGUAAGAUAGGAGUGGAGAGGUUAGGUAAGUAGUGGGUAGGCAGGUAAGAUAGGAGAGGGUAGGUUAGGUAAGUAGUGGGUAGGCAGGUAAGUAGUGGGUAGGCAGGUAAGAUAGGAGAUGGUAGGUUAGGUAAGUAGUGGGUAGGCAGGUAAGAUAGGAGAGGGUAGGUUAGGUAAGUAGUGGGUAGGCAGGUAAGAUAGGAGAGGGUAGGUUAGGUAAGUAAUGGGUAGGCAGGUAAGUAGUGGGUAGACAGGUAAGAUGGGAGAGGUUAGGUUAGGUAAGUAGUGGGUAGGCAGGUAAGAUAGGAGAUGGUAGGUUAGGUAAGUAGUGGGUAGGCAGGUAAGAUAGGAGAGGGUAGGUUAGGUAAGUAGUGGGUAGGCAGGUAAGAUAGGAGAUGGUAGGUUAGGUAAGUAGUGGGUAGGCAGGUAAGAUAGGAGAUGGUAGGUUAGGUAAGUAGUUGGUAGGGAGGUAAGAUAGGAGAGGGUAGGUUAGGUAAGUAGUGGGUAGGCAGGUAAGAUAGGAGAUGGUAGGUUAGGUAAGUAGUGGGUAGGCAGGUAAGAUAGGAGAGGGUAGGUUAGGUAAGUAGUGGGUAGGCAGGUAAGAUGGGAGAUGGUAGGCAGGUAAGUAGUGGGUAGGCAGGUAAGAUAGGAGAGGGUAGGUUAGGUAAGUAAUGGGUAGGCAGGUAAGUAGUGGGUAGACAGGUAAGAUAUGAGAGGGUAGGUUAGGUAAGUAGUGGGUAGGCAGGUAAGUAGUGGGUAGGCAGGUAAGAUGGGAGAUGGUAGGUUAGGUAAGUAGUGGGUAGGCAGGUAAGAUAGGAGAGGGUAGGUUAGGUAAGUAGUGGGUAGGCAGGUAAGAUGGGAGAUGGUAGGCAGGUAAGUAGUGGGUAGGCAGGUAAGAUAGGAGAUGGUAGGUUAGGUAAGUAGUGGGUAGGCAGGUAAGAUAGGAGAGGGUAGGUUAAGUAAGUAGUGGGUAGGCAGGUAAGAUAGGAGAGGGUAGGUUAGGUAAGUAGUGGGUAGGCAGGUAAGAUGGGAGAUGGUAGGCAGGUAAGUAGUGGGUAGGCAGGUAAGAUAUGAGAAGGUAGGUUAGGUAAGUAAUGGGUAGGCAGGUAAGUAGUGGGUAGACAGGUAAGAUGGGAGAUGGUAGGCAGGUAAGUAGUGGGUAGGCAGGUAAGAUAGGAGAGGUUAGGUAAGUAGUGGGUAGGCAGGUAAGAUAGGAGAGGGUAGGUUAAGUAAGUAGUGGGUAGGCAGGUAAGAUAGGAGAGGGUAGGUUAAGUAAGUAGUGGGUAGGCAGGUAAGAUAGGAGAGGGUAGGUUAGAUAAGUAGUGGGUAGGCAGGUAAGAUAGGAGAGGGUAGGUUAGGUAAGUAGUGGGUAGGCAGGUAAGAUAGGAGAGGGUAGGUUAGGUAAGUAGUGGGUAGGCAGGUAAGAUAGGAGAUGGUAGGUUAGGUAAGUAGUGGGUAGGCAGGUAAGAUAGGAUAUGGUAGGUUAGGUAAGUAGUGGGUAGGCAGGUAAGAUAGGAGAGGGUAGGUUAGGUAAGUAGUGGGUAGGCAGGUAAGAUGGGAGAUGGUAGGUUAGGUAAGUAGUGGGUAGGCAGGUAAGAUAGGAGAGGAGAGGUUAGGUAAGUAGUGGAUAGGCAGGUAAGAUAGGAGAGGGUAGGUUAGGUAAGUAGUGGGUAGGCAGGUAAGUAGUGGGUAGGCAGGUAAGAUAGGAGAGGGUAGGUUAGGUAAGUAGUGGGUAGGCAGGUAAGUAGUGGGUAGGCAGGUAAGAUAGGAGAGGGUAGGUUAGGUAAGUAGUGGGUAGGCAGGUAAGUAGUGGGUAGGCAGGUAAGAUAGGAGAGGUUAGGUAAGUAGUGGGUAGGCAGGUAAGAUAGGAGAGGGUAGGUUAAGUAAGUAGUGGGUAGGCAGGUAAGAUAGGAGAGGGUAGGUUAAGUAAGUAGUGGGUAGGCAGGUAAGAUAGGAGAGGGUAGGUUAGAUAAGUAGUGGGUAGGCAGGUAAGAUAGGAGAGGGUAGGUUAGGUAAGUAGUGGGUAGGCAGGUAAGAUAGGAGAGGGUAGGUUAGGUAAGUAGUGGGUAGGCAGGUAAGAUAGGAGAUGGUAGGUUAGGUAAGUAGUGGGUAGGCAGGUAAGAUAGGAUAUGGUAGGUUAGGUAAGUAGUGGGUAGGCAGGUAAGAUAGGAGAGGGUAGGUUAGGUAAGUAGUGGGUAGGCAGGUAAGAUAGGAGAUGGUAGGUUAGGUAAGUAGUGGGUAGGCAGGUAAGAUAGGAGAGGAGAGGUUAGGUAAGUAGUGGAUAGGCAGGUAAGAUAGGAGAGGGUAGGUUAGGUAAGUAGUGGGUAGGCAGGUAAGUAGUGGGUAGGCAGGUAAGAUAGGAGAGGGUAGGUUAGGUAAGUAGUGGGUAGGCAGGUAAGUAGUGGGUAGGCAGGUAAGAUAGGAGAGGGUAGGUUAGGUAAGUAGUGGGUAGGCAGGUAAGUAGUGGGUAGGCAGGUAAGAUAGGAGAUGGGGCUUUGACAUUUACUUUCUUUGCUUUAGUUUCGUUCAGCCCCUUUCCCCCAAAUGUAUCGUGUGAAGGAAUAAAUGACCAGUAAAUGGUAAAUUCUCUGCCUUUUGUCAUCCUUACUCGCACCUACAGUCCCAUACAGUCCCAUACCUCUUUUACUCCACGGGGAGUUGAGUUGUAGCGUACGUAACAAAUGGUCCAAAAUUCCUCCUGACCGUUGUGUAGGUCUGAUCCGCAACUACAGAAAAUGUUUGGUUGUGGUAAUU
Molecule: long non-coding RNA, 5277 nt
Organism: Oncorhynchus keta (chum salmon)
Lineage: Eukaryota; Metazoa; Chordata; Actinopteri; Salmoniformes; Salmonidae
Exons: 3
Source: RefSeq, a predicted model, not a curated record